CUGGAGGCAGCAGUGGGGAAUUUUCCGCAAUGGGCGAAAGCCUGACGGAGUGACGCCGCGUGUGGGACGAAGGCCUUCGGGUCGUAAACCACUGUCAGUGGGAAAGAUGGGUGUCGGCGCGAUAACCGCCGGCACUUGACGGUACCUGCAGAGGAAGCCCCGGCUAACUCUGUGCCAGCAGCCGCGGUAAGACAGAGGGGGCAAGCGUUGCUCGGAAUUACUGGGCGUAAAGGGCGCGUAGGCGGGAUGGCAAGUCGGUCGUGAAAUCCCUCGGCUCAACCGAGGAUCGUCGAUUGAUACUGCCGUUCUUGAGGAUUGCAGAGGAGACUGGAAUUCCCGGUGUAGCGGUGAAAUGUGUAGAGAUCGGGAGGAACACCGGUGGCGAAGGCGGGUCUCUGGGCAAUUCCUGACGCUGAGGCGCGAAAGCGUGGGGAGCAAACGGGAUUAGAAACCCCAGUAGUCC
Molecule: ribosomal RNA, 463 nt
Filed under: uncultured bacterium
Lineage: Bacteria
Description: bacterial SSU rRNA
Rfam family: Bacterial small subunit ribosomal RNA
Source: RNAcentral